Molecule: transfer RNA, 71 nt
Filed under: Synchiropus altivelis
Lineage: Eukaryota; Metazoa; Chordata; Actinopteri; Syngnathiformes; Callionymidae
Description: Foetorepus altivelis tRNA-Thr
Rfam family: tRNA
About the family: Transfer RNA (tRNA) molecules are approximately 80 nucleotides in length. Their secondary structure includes four short double-helical elements and three loops (D, anti-codon, and T loops).
Source: RNAcentral
GUGUCAAUAGCUCAGCUCAGAGCGCUGGUCUUGUAAACCAGAUGUCGGGGGUUAAAAUCCCCCUUGUCACU